Canis lupus familiaris (dog) is the source of this 823-nucleotide long non-coding RNA. RefSeq lists it as uncharacterized. Lineage: Eukaryota; Metazoa; Chordata; Mammalia; Carnivora; Canidae. The record is from RefSeq and is a predicted model, not a curated record. The transcript has 4 exons.
UUUCCUUUUGCUAAUACACAAAAAUCAUCUUAUGUCUGCUUUUCUACCCACAGGUCCUCUGCUUGGGUCAGUCUCAGCAAAAGCAUGUAUCUUCAAAAAUAAAUAAUCACAGUUGUCAGUAAAUCUCCCAUGCUCAAAAUUUACAGCCUAUAAUUCAAUGUCAAUAUGAAUAACAUCCUAAGUCACCAAUAAUAAAGUUAUAGUCAUUCUCCUUCCUUCCUGCUAAAAUGUCUCCAAGACUAAUUUAGAGGCAAACUAAGAUCUCUUGAGUGUCUAUUUUAAGCUUCAUCAGGAUGAGGGAGAAAGGUAAUUCCAGAGCAAUAAAUCUUCCAUGGAAAGCACUCUACCUCUGGCUGCUUGAUAAUGAAUUUAAUCAGUCGGGAGAACAGCCCUGUCAUUACGGAUUAAUCACCAAAGGCUCUGUUUUGAGAGAGACAGAGACAGAGACAGAGACAGAGACUUGGGGCUCAAUCUCACAACCUAAGACCAUGACCUGAGCUGAAAUCAAGAGUCAGACACUCAACCGACUGAGCCACCUGGGCACCUCAGGACCAAUGAUACUCUUACCAAGAGAAUUAUUUGAAAGGGGGUCCAGGCCUUCACUGAAGAAGAUACUCCAAGAAAUUCUCCUGCUAGCCUUGAAUAAGCGAGCCACCAUGAAGUCUAUGGGUGCAAGGAAAAGAAUUCUGCCAACAACCACAUGAGCUCUGAAGAAUACCCCCAAGCACCAAAUAAGACCCCAGCCUUGGCCAACACCUCGUACUGCAGUCUUGUGAGACCCUGAGCAGAAGGCCCAGUUAAACUCUGCAAGGCCUUCUAACCC